GGGCCCGCACAAGCGGUGGAGCAUGUGGUUUAAUUCGAUGCAACGCGAAAAACCUUACCUACUCUUGACAUCCUUGGAAUGCUUUAGAAAUAAAGCAGUGCCUUCGGGAACCAAGUGACAGGUGCUGCAUGGCUGUCGUCAGCUCGUGUCGUGAGAUGUUGGGUUAAGUCCCGUAACGAGCGAAACCCCUUUUCUAUGUUGCCAGCACGUAAUGGUGGGGACUCUUAGAAUACUGCCGGUGUUAAAUCGGAGGAAGGUGGGGACGAUGUCAAGUCAUCAUGGCCCUUACGAGUAGGGCUACACACGUGCUACAAUGGGCAGUACAGAGGGUUGCGAAGCCGCGAGGCCAAGCUAAUCUCAGAAAGCUGCUCUCAGUCCGGAUUGGAGUCUGCAACUCGGCUCCAUGAAGUCGGAAUC
RNAcentral lists this ribosomal RNA (417 nucleotides) under uncultured bacterium. Its description in RNAcentral is "bacterial SSU rRNA". It matches the Rfam family "Bacterial small subunit ribosomal RNA", at positions 917 to 1333 of the family's 1533-position model. The record is from RNAcentral.